UACGGGGGGGCAAGCGUUGUUCGGAAUUACUGGGCGUAAAGGGCUCGUAGGCGGCCAACUAAGUCAGACGUGAAAUCCCUCGGCUUAACCGGGGAACUGCGUCUGAUACUGGUUGGCUUGAGUGCAGGAGAGGAAUGCGGAAUUCCAGGUGUAGCGGUGAAAUGCGUAGAUAUCUGGAGGAACACCGGUGGCGAAGGCGGCAUUCUGGACUGCAACUGACACUGAAAGACGAAAGCCAGGGGAGCAAACGGG
Molecule: ribosomal RNA, 252 nt
Filed under: uncultured bacterium
Lineage: Bacteria
Description: partial 16S ribosomal RNA
Rfam family: Bacterial small subunit ribosomal RNA
Source: RNAcentral